GACGAGGUGGCCGAGUGGUUAAGGCGUUGGACUGCUAAGCCAUCUCUUUGCAGAAAUCCAAUGGGAUCUUCCCGCGUGAGUUCGAAUCUCAUCCUCGUCG
RNAcentral lists this transfer RNA (100 nucleotides) under Mayetiola destructor (Hessian fly). RNAcentral describes it as "tRNA-Ser for anticodon GCU". It matches the Rfam family "tRNA". Rfam says of the family: Transfer RNA (tRNA) molecules are approximately 80 nucleotides in length. Their secondary structure includes four short double-helical elements and three loops (D, anti-codon, and T loops). The record is from RNAcentral. Lineage: Eukaryota; Metazoa; Arthropoda; Insecta; Diptera; Cecidomyiidae.